Molecule: ribosomal RNA, 568 nt
Filed under: uncultured bacterium
Lineage: Bacteria
Description: bacterial SSU rRNA
Rfam family: Bacterial small subunit ribosomal RNA
Source: RNAcentral
GGGUGAGUAAUACAUAGAUAACCUGCCUUUAGCACAGGGACAACGGCUGGAAACGGCCGCUAAUACCUGAUGACGCCUGAGCUUGUCAUGGGCUCAGGCCAAAGGACGGGGAUCCGCAAGGACCUGUCGGCUUUAGAGGGGUUUAUGGCCUAUCAGCUUGUUGGCGGGGUAAUGGCCCACCAAGGCUAAGACGGGUACGAGGCCUGAGAGGGUGCCCUCGCACACUGGGACUGAGACACUGCCCAGACUCCUACGGGAGGCUGCAGUCGAGGAUCUUCGGCAAUGGGCGAAAGCCUGACCGAGCGACGCCGCGUGGAGGAGGAAGGCCUUCGGGUUGUAAACUCCUGUCAGAGGUUAGGAAAUAUGCGGUGGCUAAUAUCCGCCGCAUUUGACAAAAGCCUCAAAGGAAGCUCCGGCUAAAUCCGUGCCAGCAGCCGCGGUAAUACGGAUGGAGCGAGCGUUGUUCGGAAUCACUGGGCAUAAAGCGCAUGUAGGCGGCCCUGAAAGUCGGGUGUGAAAUCCUCCGGCUCACCCGGAGAAUUGCAUUUGAUACUCCAGGGCUUGAGUG